UACGGAGGGUGCAAGCGUUAAUCGGAAUUACUGGGCGUAAAGCGCACGUAGGCGGUUUUUUAAGCUAGAUGUGAAAGCCCCGGGCUCAACCUGGGAACUGCAUUUAGAACUGGAAAGCUAGAGUAUGGUAGAGGAGUGUGGAAUUUCAGGUGUAGCGGUGAAAUGCGUAGAGAUCUGAAGGAACAUCAGUGGCGAAGGCGACACUCUGGACCAAUACUGACGCUGAGGUGCGAAAGCGUGGGUAGCAAACAGG
Molecule: ribosomal RNA, 253 nt
Filed under: uncultured bacterium
Lineage: Bacteria
Description: partial 16S ribosomal RNA
Rfam family: Bacterial small subunit ribosomal RNA
Source: RNAcentral